RNAcentral lists this ribosomal RNA (253 nucleotides) under uncultured bacterium. Its description in RNAcentral is "partial 16S ribosomal RNA". It matches the Rfam family "Bacterial small subunit ribosomal RNA", at positions 524 to 776 of the family's 1533-position model. The record is from RNAcentral.
UACGUAGGGUGCGAGCGUUGUCCGGAAUUACUGGGCGUAAAGAGCUCGUAGGUGGUUUGUCGCGUUGUCCGUGAAAACUCACAGCUUAACUGUGGGCGUGCGGGCGAUACGGGCAGACUGGAGUACUGCAGGGGAGACUGGAAUUCCUGGUGUAGCGGUGGAAUGCGCAGAUAUCAGGAGGAACACCGGUGGCGAAGGCGGGGCUCUGGGCAGUAACUGACGCUGAGGAGCGAAAGCGUGGGGAGCGAACAGG